UAGCUACUCCCUCCGUCUGAGAAAACUUGUUCAUCAAAUGGAUGUAUCUAGCACCAAGUUAAUACUAAAUACAUCUAUUUAAGAGACAAAUUUGCGACAAGCUUUUUCAAACGGAGGGAGUACUUA
Molecule: non-coding RNA, 126 nt
Organism: Triticum aestivum (bread wheat)
Lineage: Eukaryota; Viridiplantae; Streptophyta; Magnoliopsida; Poales; Poaceae
Source: Rfam